This is a non-coding RNA of Ataeniobius toweri, 90 nucleotides long. Lineage: Eukaryota; Metazoa; Chordata; Actinopteri; Cyprinodontiformes; Goodeidae. The record is from the annotation of a GenBank genome assembly.
UGCACGGUGGUGCAGUUGGUAGCACUGUUGCCUUGCAGCAAUAAGGUCCUGGGUUCAACUGCAUGGAGUUUGCAUGUUCUCCCCGUGCAU